Small nuclear RNA from Cataglyphis hispanica, 110 nucleotides. The record is from RefSeq and is a predicted model, not a curated record. NCBI's taxonomy places the organism in Eukaryota, Metazoa, Arthropoda, Insecta, Hymenoptera, Formicidae.
UCAUUAUAUGACAAUACAUAUAUCAAAAUUGGAACAAUAUAUAAAAGAGUAGCAUGUCCCCCUGUGCAAGGAUGACAUGCAAAAUCGUCCAUGAAGUGUUCCAACACAUA